GUGAAAUUGUUGAAAGGGAAGCGCUUGCAACCAGACCUGCCUGCAGUUGCUCAUCCGUGGCUUUUGCCCGGUGCACUCUUCUGCUGUCAGGCCAGCAUCAGUUCGGGCGGUCGGAUAAAGGCUUCGGGAAUGUAGCUCCUCUCGGGGAGUGUUAUAGCCCGUUGCGAAAUGCGGCCAGCCUGGACUGAGGUCCGCGCUUCGGCUAGGAUGCUGGCGUAAUGGUUGUAAGCGGCCCGUCUUGAAACACGGACCAAGGAGUCUAACAUCUGUGCGAGUGUUUGGGUGUUAAACCCGUACGCGUAAUGAAAGUGAACGGAGGCGGGAACCCCUCGGGGUGCACCGUCGACCGAUCCUGAUGUCUUCGGAUGGAUUUGAGUAAGAGCAUAGCUGUUGGGACCCGAAAGAUGGUGAACUAUGCCUGAAUAGGGUGAAGCCAGAGGAAACUCUGGUGGAGGCUCGCAGCGGUUCUGACGUGCAAAUCGAUCGUCAAAUUUGGGCAUAGGGGCGAAAGACUAAUCGAACUAUCUAGUAGCUGGUUCCUGCCGAAGUUUCCCUCAGGAUAGCAGUAACGUUUUCAGUUUUAUGAGGUAAAGCGAAUGAUUAGAGGCCUGGGGGUUGAAACAACCUUCACCUAUUCUCAAACUUUAAAUAUGUAAGAAGUCCUUGUUGCUCAGUUGAACGUGGACAUUUGAAUGUAUCGUUACUAGUGGGCCAUUUUUGGUAAGCAGAA
RNAcentral lists this ribosomal RNA (730 nucleotides) under uncultured Ascomycota. RNAcentral's name for it is "LSU rRNA". It matches the Rfam family "Eukaryotic large subunit ribosomal RNA", at positions 399 to 1149 of the family's 3401-position model. Lineage: Eukaryota; Fungi; Ascomycota. The record is from RNAcentral.